RNAcentral lists this transfer RNA (75 nucleotides) under Acidimicrobiia bacterium. Its description in RNAcentral is "tRNA-Arg". It matches the Rfam family "tRNA". From Rfam's summary of the family: Transfer RNA (tRNA) molecules are approximately 80 nucleotides in length. Their secondary structure includes four short double-helical elements and three loops (D, anti-codon, and T loops). RNAcentral also lists the same sequence under 1 other name. The record is from RNAcentral. Lineage: Bacteria; Bacillati; Actinomycetota; Acidimicrobiia.
GCGCCCGUAGCUCAGCUUGGACAGAGCAGCGGAUUUCUAUUCCGUAGGUCGGGGGUUCGAAUCCUCCCGGGCGCG